ACUGUAGCCUUUCUGAGUAGA
This 21-nucleotide microRNA is filed under the name Gorilla gorilla (western gorilla). RNAcentral describes it as "ggo-miR-508". Its record names the gene ggo-miR-508. RNAcentral also lists the same sequence under 1 other name. The record is from miRBase by way of RNAcentral. Lineage: Eukaryota; Metazoa; Chordata; Mammalia; Primates; Hominidae.